GCCUCUGUAGCUCAGUUGGUUAGAGCGCUGCACCGGAAUUGUAGGACCGUAGGUUCAAUUCCUACCAGAGGAC
Molecule: non-coding RNA, 73 nt
Organism: Paramuricea clavata
Lineage: Eukaryota; Metazoa; Cnidaria; Anthozoa; Malacalcyonacea; Plexauridae
Source: the annotation of a GenBank genome assembly